Long non-coding RNA from Esox lucius (northern pike), 1681 nucleotides. RefSeq lists it as uncharacterized. NCBI's taxonomy places the organism in Eukaryota, Metazoa, Chordata, Actinopteri, Esociformes, Esocidae. The record is from RefSeq and is a predicted model, not a curated record. The transcript is spliced from 4 exons.
UGACUGAGAGGUAAGAAUAGCUCUUUCCCUCAAGGGUUUAGAGACCUGCAACCAGUAGGAAGGCAGAGAUGCCACACUGUGGACGUAUCCACGGAUACCUUGAUGACGAUUAUGCCUGGAUUUGAGCUACAGGAGCUGUUUGUUAAUGAGGCUAAUCACCAGUGAGCUCUCUCCACAGGAAUCCUUCAGUUCUAUGGUAACGUAAUUAGCCAGAAGAAUCUGAGCAAGCAGAAGCCGAAUGGCAAGGACUUUCAGAUUUAUUGGUGUGAUUGUUCCUUUGUUGUAAAAGUUGUGAUUACAAUUCAUGGCAGUGUGUGUCUAUCAACAAACUAUUUCCUGCAGUGAAUAGCCUUACCAAAUCUUGUUUGUUUUUCUGCUCUUUGUUAGAGUAGCAAUAUUUGAGGAUUGGCUCCCCGGCCCAUGGAAAAAUUGAAAAUGUUUACGCUUUUAGACAUCCGUGAUCCACUGCCUUACAUUUCAAUAUCUUUGAUCUAUUGCUUUGUUUCUUAUUGUCACAGCAGUGGUCUACUUACUCAGCAGCUUACAUGACGUAAAAGGUUGGCUAAUCCUUACUUUCCAAUGUUUUCUUAGUACUGUCUGGCUUUCUAGUUUGAGGUUCUGUAAGUCUCCCACGCCCGGUGGUUCACUGCUCUGAGCACAGAAUGGCCAUGAAGGCACCGAGAGACGUAAACAUGAAGAUAAACUACACAAGACAAUGUUACUUUGUCCAAAAAAAGUAUGCAACUAUUCCUUUAAACAGAAUGUAACAUUUCUCUUGAUGGCUGAUGUGAUAGUACCCGGAAACAGAUGAAGCAUAGAGAACAUUUUAAGGAGAUGACAAAAGCAUGAGAGGAAUAGGAGAUAUAGGAAUACAGCAGUGCUGAGGAAGAGGACUCACAGUGAGGACAUAUGGCUACUUCUCGGAAAUUGUGUUGAGCUUUCUGAUGCCCAGUACUGCUGAGGCAUCACCAAAAAGAAGAGAAGUCCUGUGCCUUUAAUGUCAUGUUUCCAGGACUUGCAAUACAAUACCAUAAUACAAUCAGCAGACUUCACAAUUAUCUAAUAUCCUCUGAAUGGAUUUCGAGGCUGUUUCCAUUCAUUGAUGUAGAAAUAGUGAAAUAGCAAUUCCUUAGAGUAAGAUUACUUUUCCACAAAUACGGAUACCUGUGGGUAAAAAACAAAUUACAGUUUUCAAGUAUUCUAAAAAGGACUUCCUGGUUGUACAUAUACUUUUAUACCUGAAGUGACAUCAGAAUUGGCUUUAUGCUGAUACCUGUUUGGAUCAUAAAUAUACAUAAAAUAUCCAAACUUCAUGUAAAAGGUUUUUGAUUUCAAAUGAACAAUUACUUCAGCAACUUUUUCAUUAGUUUAAAUUUAAAUUAGAACCUUGAAUAUUGGUAACAUGAUGAGCUCUACUUCUCUAAUCUUUCAUCAGGGCAGGUUAUAGGAGGUAAUGAACUUCCAUAUCACACUAGAUUCUGACACAGGGAUUCUCAAUAAGCGCCGGACAUCUGUACCUGGCUCUAGACAGAGAGCUAUAUUACAUCUCCUGUGUACUGACCUCUGCCUGCCUCGACCUCCUGCUCACUCCUUCUCUGCUUUGCUGUUUAUGCCAAUUGUGUACCGAACCCUGCCUGCCUACGACUUGUCUCUGCUCUGUGAUUAUUUAUAUUAAACAAAA